UUGAAGAACUGCAGGUGGUGGUC
RNAcentral lists this microRNA (23 nucleotides) under Oikopleura dioica. RNAcentral's name for it is "odi-miR-1497b". Lineage: Eukaryota; Metazoa; Chordata; Appendicularia; Copelata; Oikopleuridae. The record is from miRBase by way of RNAcentral.